GGAAUUUUGGACAAUGGGCGAAAGCCCGAUCCAGCCAUGCCGCGUGCAGGAUGAAGGCCUUCGGGUUGUAAACUGCUUUUGUACGGAACGAAAAGACUCCUUCUAAUAAAGGGGGUCCAUGACGGUACCGUAAGAAUAAGCACCGGCUAACUACGUGCCAGCAGCCGCGGUAAUACGUAGGGUGCGAGCGUUAAUCGGAAUUACUGGGCGUAAAGCGUGCGCAGGCGGUUAUAUAAGACAGAUGUGAAAUCCCCGGGCUCAACCUGGGAACUGCAUUUGUGACUGUAUAGCUAGAGUACGGUAGAGGGGGAUGGAAUUCCGCGUGUAGCAGUGAAAUGCGUAGAUAUGCGGAGGAACACCGAUGGCGAAGGCAAUCCCCUGGACCUGUACUGACGCUCAUGCACGAAAGCGUGGGGAGCAAACAGGAUUAGAUACCCCAG
This 440-nucleotide ribosomal RNA is filed under the name uncultured Acidovorax sp. RNAcentral describes it as "bacterial SSU rRNA". It matches the Rfam family "Bacterial small subunit ribosomal RNA", at positions 358 to 790 of the family's 1533-position model. Lineage: Bacteria; Pseudomonadati; Pseudomonadota; Betaproteobacteria; Burkholderiales; Comamonadaceae. The record is from RNAcentral.